ACUAUUAUUCUUUUUGCCCUUCCAGAAUAAUUUUUUUUUUAUUGAUCGAAAAUGAUAAGUUAAGGGCACACCUAAAAAAAAUUCUUCGCUUCUCUCUCAAAAUAAUAAUCGAACGGAAGCAACAUGAUGCAUCAUCACCGAUCUACGAAGGAAUAACACGAAUCCUUUUUUUUUUGUUGAUCAAUAGACUGUACGCUCAUAAAAACCAAUAUUUUCGAACUAAAAGUUAACGUUUUUUACUUUUCAGAUAAAGUUGCAUGUUUUCUCCGAUGAUAGAUCUGUUUAAUCAGAUGAGAAUCUGUUGUUUUUGUUUAUGUCCAAAGACAAUAUGAUAAAAUAAAUCACUUAAUACAAACCAAGCUCGGACACCUCGGAUCCAGAUUUUCCUAUCUCUUCAGUUAAAAAUUUUCUGGAUCUACAAAAGAAAAAAAAAUCGGGUGAAACAUGCUCAAAACUCACCGAUCAAGUGCAGAAUAAAGUACACAAUGUAUGAUGAUGAAGGACCUGAGAAAAUGUCCAACCAAAUCUUUACAGUACACAGAUAAGUCUCAGACCAUAGGGUUAUUGAGCUGUCUUAUAACUAUCUAGGCUGUUCUAUAAUUUUUUUAUUGUCUUUUUAAUGCUUACGAUUCAUCUGCAGGUCGUGCAGUGACAGAAAGUAGAGACAUAACUUUAUUCAUGUGACUCUAACCUCAAUCACAAAAACCUCAAACCUGAGAAAAGAUAAGUUUUUAUUUGUAGACAUAAAUUUCAAUGCAUAAAAUGACUAUAAUAUCUUUAAUAUUGUUACAUAUAUAAACUGUUAACAUAUAAACAUUUACUCCCCAAACUAAUCAAAUAGACCUGUCUACAUGUUGCGUGAAUUUUGUCACCCUGCAACAUAAAACGAUUUCACGUUAAAGCCUUAUAAAAUCAAGAUGUGAAACUCCAUAACUUAAAUUACUAUGAAUUUGUUCAGUUUACCUUGUCAGCGAAAACGAUUUCAAGGGUUUCACCAAAUGUUGCGUUUAUUUGCUUCCAGGUGUGAAUUACCAAGGAUUUCAAGGGUUUCACCAAAGGUUCUUUUGUGUGCGCAUUGGCCUUACGAUUGGGAAACUUCUUUGGAAAUAACUACUAAUCUAAGAUAAGGUUCUUUCCUAACUAAGAGAAAUGUGUAGAUGUAUACUGAAAAAUUUGGUACAUUUAUUUUUUAAGCAAUGAAAAUCAGUGUAUUCAAGAAACUAUCCUGAUGGUUUUUAUUAUAUGUACAGUUUUGAUUGCAUAC
Molecule: long non-coding RNA, 1264 nt
Organism: Brassica napus (rape)
Lineage: Eukaryota; Viridiplantae; Streptophyta; Magnoliopsida; Brassicales; Brassicaceae
Exons: 4
Source: RefSeq, a predicted model, not a curated record